GCCGGAGUGGCGGAAUGGCAGACGCGGAGGUCUCAAAAACCUUUGGGGGGAAACCCUCGUGCCGGUUCGACCCCGGCCUUCGGCACCA
This 88-nucleotide transfer RNA is filed under the name Dehalococcoidia bacterium. Its description in RNAcentral is "tRNA-Leu". It matches the Rfam family "tRNA". From Rfam's summary of the family: Transfer RNA (tRNA) molecules are approximately 80 nucleotides in length. Their secondary structure includes four short double-helical elements and three loops (D, anti-codon, and T loops). The record is from RNAcentral. Lineage: Bacteria; Bacillati; Chloroflexota; Dehalococcoidia.